Molecule: ribosomal RNA, 480 nt
Filed under: uncultured bacterium
Lineage: Bacteria
Description: partial 16S ribosomal RNA
Rfam family: Bacterial small subunit ribosomal RNA
Source: RNAcentral
GACGAACGCUGGCGGCGUGCUCAACACAUGCAAGUCGAGCGGAAAGGCCCUUUCGGGGGUACUCGAGCGGCGAACGGGUGAGUAACACGUGAGUAAUCUGCCCCUGGCUUUGGGAUAGCCACCGGAAACGGUGAUUAAUACCGGAUACGACCACUUCUCGCAUGGGAUGGUGGUGGAAAGGUUUUCGGCCAGGGAUGUGCUCGCGGCCUAUCAGCUUGAUGGUGAGGUAAUGGCUCACCAUGGCCUCGACGGGUAGCCGGCCUGAGAGGGUGACCGGGCACGCUGGGACUGAGACACGGCCCAGACUCCUACGGGAGGCAGGAGUGGGGAAGAUUGGACAAUGGGCGGAAGCCUGAUACAGCAACGCAGCGUGAGGGAUGACGGCCUUCGGGUUGUAAACCUCUUUCAGCAGGGACGAAGCGCAAGUGACGGUACCUGCAGAAGAAGCACCGGCCAACUACGUGCCAGCCGCCGCAGUAA